This 436-nucleotide long non-coding RNA is filed under the name Brassica napus (rape). RNAcentral describes it as "long non-coding RNA (BNAP_LNC012937)". Lineage: Eukaryota; Viridiplantae; Streptophyta; Magnoliopsida; Brassicales; Brassicaceae. The record is from RNAcentral.
UGUUACGCUAAUCAUUUUUAAUGAAAGGUAAAGGACAUUUAUAACCUUUCGAUUAACUUUUUUAAAAAAAACAUAUGGUUGACUAAUCUAAACUUAAAACAUCAACUCUAAACCCUAAAUCAUCAACUCUAAACCAUAAACCAUGAAACAUCAACUCUAAAUCCUAAACCCCGAAACAUCAACUCUAAACCCUAAACCUUCAAAUCUAAACCCUAAAAAAUCAACUCUAAACCCUAAACGUAAACCCUAAACCCUAAAUCUAAACUUAAAACAUCAACUUUAAACCCUAAAUCAUCAACUCUAAACCCUAAACUAUGAAACAUCAACUCUAAACCCUAAACCCUAAACUCUAAACCUUCAAAUCUAAACCCUAAAACAUCAACUCUAAAUCCUAAACGUAAACCCUAAACCCUAGAUUUUUCUGAAAUUCGAACCC